ACGCUCGACACCUACGGGGGCAGCAGUAGGGAAUCUUCCACAAUGGACGUAAGUCUGAUGGAGCAACGCCGCGUGAGUGAAGAAGGUUUUCGGAUCGUAAAGCUCUGUUGUUGGUGAAGAAGGAUAGAGGUAGUAACUGGCCUUUAUUUGACGGUAAUCAACCAGAAAGUCACGGCUAACUACGUGCCAACAGCCGCGGUAAUCUGAGCGGGCGUGGCAAGGC
Molecule: ribosomal RNA, 223 nt
Filed under: uncultured bacterium
Lineage: Bacteria
Description: partial 16S ribosomal RNA
Rfam family: Bacterial small subunit ribosomal RNA
Source: RNAcentral